AGUUGUGACUCAUCAGAGAAUGGACAUGGGCCUUCUGAGGGUGUCCUGCAGUGUCUUGCAACAGGAUGUUAUAUAUCAUAGAAGAAAGUCUAGAGCUGGAUGGAUACUAGGGGAGUGGAAGAGGUUUCCAAGAAGAGCCACAGGAUCCCACUGAUGAUGAAGGAGCAACUACUCCCACUCUGGACAUUAACUCCAGGACCUGAAUGCAGCACAAACCCCAACGACAAGAGUCCCAGGAUCCCAGAGGAGAAGCUAUUGUGACAGACAAUACAAGCAAGGAAUGCAGAGGGUGACCUAGCACAGAGAAAACCAAGGAGGUAAGUGUUAGGUACAUGGAGAGGAGGACCAUUUGGAGGACACCACAAACCACAAACCACAAAUCCACCUUCAACCCACCCCUGUGAGGAAAACACACCAAUGGCCUGGAGCAGCUGGUACCCACCUGUAACAAAAAACUAUUUUAAUGCUACAACAUUUAUUAUUUUCAUUGUUGUUAUUAUUUAGAAGGCAAAUCCUGAAAUUAGAAUGUGCUUUGAGGCUUUGCUGAGGGAGCAGAGGUACAGAAACCAGCUGAAGACCAUCUCUGCAUCUCUGUCUUCUUCAGGCAAACAAAGGCUGCUAAACCACUCUCUGGAUCAUGUCUUCUUUUACGCCCUCAUCCCAUCCGUAACACCG
This is a long non-coding RNA of Mugil cephalus (flathead mullet), 675 nucleotides long. RefSeq lists it as uncharacterized. The record is from RefSeq and is a predicted model, not a curated record. The transcript has 3 exons. Lineage: Eukaryota; Metazoa; Chordata; Actinopteri; Mugiliformes; Mugilidae.